AUGGCAAAGCGCCUCGCCGUCGCGCUCCUGCUGCUGGUCCUGCUCGCGUCCAGCGACGCCGGUGCUGCUGCCCGUGCUGCUAGUGGCGUCGGCGAGAAGAAGGCUCUGGUGCCCGGGCUGCCGGUGGACCUCCCUCUCCCUGGGCUCCCUGGGCUGCCUGGGCUCCCUGGGCUCCCUGGCCUGCCGGGGCUCCCUGGGCUCCCUCCCGUUCCCAAAUCCACCGCCACCAACAAGUCUCCAUGA
Molecule: ribosomal RNA, 243 nt
Filed under: Triticum aestivum (bread wheat)
Lineage: Eukaryota; Viridiplantae; Streptophyta; Magnoliopsida; Poales; Poaceae
Description: partial small subunit ribosomal RNA
Source: RNAcentral